UAUUUAAAAAACAUGAGUUUGGAAUGCUGGAUCUCAUCUAAUCUCAAAAGCUAAGCAGGGUUUGGCUCGGUUUGUAGAUGGGAGACUGCCUGGGAAUACCAGGUGCUUUAUCUUC
This is a ribosomal RNA of Sinocyclocheilus grahami, 115 nucleotides long. The record is from Ensembl. NCBI's taxonomy places the organism in Eukaryota, Metazoa, Chordata, Actinopteri, Cypriniformes, Cyprinidae.